AUUAUUAGAUAUUUUUAUAAUAGAUAAAUAGUUCAAAUAAUGAUUAUUCAAAUAAUCAUUUUUUACCGCAAAAGUCUUUUUUUUUUUAUUAAUCACAAAAGUUCUCUCAAUCCCGUUGAUAUGAGCUGUGGCUUGACUACACGUGUCAUAAUAGGAGUGGUUUUGAAGGAGGCCCAUAAUCAGAGUCACGAAUAGUGUUGGGGAGUGAGGAAAUGUCUAGCGAUAUGUGAACGUGUAAGCAAUUAAUUGGUGCAAUACCGGCGAUACAGUGGACCAUUUCCCGGUUUCACUGUGUUGCCGACGUCUGCCUUUGGAUGGAUGGCAAUUAUGCAUUUUGCCCGCAUAAGAAUUACUUUUUUAUUUAGUGGAGCAGCUGAAUGGCACAUCAAUGAUGUAUAUCACAGUUGAAUCUGAUUCCAUCAAUUAAUUCUUUUUCAAUUUCAUUCUGCC
RNAcentral lists this long non-coding RNA (450 nucleotides) under Manihot esculenta (cassava). Its description in RNAcentral is "long non-coding RNA (MESC_LNC006880)". The record is from RNAcentral. Lineage: Eukaryota; Viridiplantae; Streptophyta; Magnoliopsida; Malpighiales; Euphorbiaceae.